RNAcentral lists this ribosomal RNA (407 nucleotides) under uncultured bacterium. RNAcentral describes it as "partial 16S ribosomal RNA". It matches the Rfam family "Bacterial small subunit ribosomal RNA", at positions 28 to 526 of the family's 1533-position model. The record is from RNAcentral.
GAUGAACGCUAGCUACAGGCUUAACACAUGCAAGUCGAGGGACCGGCGUACGGGUGAGUAACGCGUAUCCAACCGUCCCAUUACUGUGGGAUAACCUGCCGAAAGGCAGACCAAUACCGCAUAGUAAUGGAUGGGGAUGAGUCUGAUUAGCUUGUUGGCAGGGUGACGGCCCACCAAGGCUCCGAUCAGUAGGGGUUCUGAGAGGAAGGCCCCCCACAUUGGAACUGAGACACGUACCAAACUGCUACUGGAAGCAGCGGUGGGGUAUAUGAGGCAAUGGACUGGCGUUUGCACACGCCAAGUGGCGGACAAAUUGACGGCCUCUGGGUUGUAAGCUGCUUUUGUAUGGGGAUAGGUACCAUAAGAAUAAGGACCGGCUAAUUCCGUGCCAGCAGCCGCGGUAAUAC